GAUUUAUAGGUAAUGUAGUGGCUGAGGGACUGGCCCGAAGAAGCCCGGCAACCUCUAAGAAAAAUAUUUCUUAAAAGGUGCUAAUUCCAGCAGGAUACGCCUGGUAGAUAAGUU
RNAcentral lists this non-coding RNA (114 nucleotides) under Candidatus Melainabacteria. RNAcentral's name for it is "SAM-I sequence". It matches the Rfam family "SAM riboswitch aptamer (S box leader)". From Rfam's summary of the family: The SAM riboswitch is found upstream of a number of genes which code for proteins involved in methionine or cysteine biosynthesis in Gram-positive bacteria. The SAM riboswitch acts at the level of transcription termination control. The predicted structure consists of a complex stem-loop region followed by a single stem loop terminator region. Lineage: Bacteria; Bacillati. The record is from RNAcentral.